UUGCCAGCCGCCGCGGUAAGACGAACUGUCCUAACGUUGUUCGGAAUCACUGGGCUUAAAGGGCGCGUAGGCGGUCCGAUAAGUCGGGGGUGAAAUCCUGCAGCUUAACUGCAGAAGUGCCUUCGAUACUGUCGGUCUUGAGGGAGAUAGGGGUGUGCGGAACUUCCAGUGGAGCGGUGAAAUGCGUUGAUAUUGGAAGGAACGCCGGAGGCGAAAGCGGCGCACUGGAUCUCUUCUGACGCUGAGGCGCGAAAGCUAGGGGAGCAAACGGGAUUAGAAACCCUUGUAGUCC
This 292-nucleotide ribosomal RNA is filed under the name uncultured bacterium. Its description in RNAcentral is "partial 16S ribosomal RNA". It matches the Rfam family "Bacterial small subunit ribosomal RNA", at positions 505 to 796 of the family's 1533-position model. The record is from RNAcentral.